GAUGAAGAACGUAGCGAAAUGCGAUAAGUAGUGUGAAUUGCAGAAUUUAGUGAAUCAUCGAAUCUUUGAACGCACAUUGCGCCCUUUGGUAUUCCUUAGGGCAUGCCUGUUCGAGCGUCAUCUACACCCUCAAGCACAGCUUGGUGAUGGGCGCCUGUCCCGCCCCCCACGGGGGCGCGGACUCGCCUCAAAUGCAUUGGCGGCCGGCGACCUGGCUUCGAGCGCAGCAGAAACGCGUACUCGGGGACCGGGCGCCCGCUCCCAGAAGCCAACCCACCCAGUUUGACCUCGGAUCAGGUAGGGAUACCCGCUGAACUUAAGCAUAUCAUAAGCGGAGGA
This 339-nucleotide unclassified non-coding RNA is filed under the name soil metagenome. RNAcentral's name for it is "partial contains 5.8S ribosomal RNA, internal transcribed spacer 2, and large subunit ribosomal RNA". The stretch from base 1 to 120 matches the Rfam family "5.8S ribosomal RNA", at positions 35 to 154 of the family's 154-position model. The record is from RNAcentral.